Long non-coding RNA from Mytilus trossulus (common blue mussel), 2076 nucleotides. RefSeq lists it as uncharacterized. The transcript has 12 exons. The record is from RefSeq and is a predicted model, not a curated record. NCBI's taxonomy places the organism in Eukaryota, Metazoa, Mollusca, Bivalvia, Mytilida, Mytilidae.
CAGAAAAUUCAGUAUUUGACGAAGAAGUGCUCUUGUAUGUAAUUUUUAGACUGCAAAACGAUCUUUGAGAAGUACAUUUGAAAGAUUUGAAAGAUUUCGACGUAGGGAAGUGUAAUUAUUGAAGCUUAUUUUCCUGCCCUAAAGGCAAUGCCAUAUGCAAUUAAAAAGAAAUAAGAUGUCAGUUACCUGUUUGAAGUAUGAAGACUCAAAUUUUCUUGAUCAGUGCAAUUUAUCUCCCUUGGAAAUUCAUGGUCAAUGCUGUGUCCAUCACUCGAUCCUGUGUCAUCUUCUGAAAAAUUAAGAAAGAAAAUUUAUUAUCAAAGGUCCACUUUGAGCUUCAUCCACUGUAACAAAGAAUGAAGAUUAAAAUCUUGCAGUGCAAUUUAUCUCCCUUGGAAAUUUAUGUACAAUGCUGUGUCCAUCACUCGAUCCUGUGUCAUCUUCUGAAAAAUUAAGAAAGAAAAUUUAUUAUCAAAGGUCCACUUUGAGCUUCAUCCACUGUAACAAAGAAUGAAGAUUAAAAUCUUGCAGUGCAAUUUAUCUCCCUUGGAAAUUUAUGUACAAUGCUGUGUCCAUCACUCGAUCCUGUGUCAUCUUCUGAAAAAUUAAGAAAGAAAAUUUAUUAUCAAAGGUCCACUUUGAGCUUCAUCCACUGUAACAAAGAAUGAAGAUUAAAAUCUUGCAGUGCAAUUUAUCUCCCUUGGAAAUUUAUGUACAAUGCUGUGUCCAUCACUCGAUCCUGUGUCAUCUUCUGGAAAAGUAAAGAAAGCAAAUUUAUUAUCAAAGGUCCACUUUGAGCUUCAUCCACUGAAACAAAGAAUGAAGAUUGAAGUCUUGCAGUGUAAUUUAUCUCCCUUGGAAAUUCAUGGUCAAUGCUGUGUCCAUCACUCGAUCCUGUGUCAUCUUCUGGAAAAGUAAAGAAAGUAAUUUCAUCAUAACUGAUUAGAUGUGCUGAAAUGAUGUAAAUUAGGUCCACAGUCUUGUGAAUGAUUUUCAUGUGGGCCAUCUAAAAAUUCAACAUGACCUUCUGAUGUCUUCCACCAUACAUUGAUACCAACUUCAAGAAAAUCAGAAAUUCUUUGACAGUGUGCCUGUAUUAGACGGUGUCUGGAAGCAAUUAACUGACCGGGAAUGAUGGAGUUUCCUCUGGGAGGAAGCAAACGAGCUUGCUGGCUGAUGGCUGAAUCCUGAUGUUCAAAAGAAUCAAUUUGGUCUUCACUGUCCUGCUUUGCUAAAAAUCUCAAGACACAGUUAUCAACAACAUAUUUGGCUUGUCGGUUACUGGUUCUGACAGAGAUAGAUCUAAGAUCUCCAAAUGUCCUUUCCUGGUUUUCUGGAAGAAGGGACCUUAAGCAAAAUAGUCGAUACAUUUCAGGAAAAUGAACUGUGAAGCUGUGGAAGUGUGAGCCAUAAAAUUUUCCUUUUGUAAGUUUCUUAGGGUUGAUGAUGACAUAUUUGAUCAAAAUGGCAAAAAGAAAGCAUUGGUUAUAUAAUCUUAAAACCUGCUUUUGUGUCCUUUCAUUUGAACGACUGUAACAAAUGGUAAUGAUUUCUACAAGGCUGUUGCAGAUUGUCAGGAUGUCAGCAUUAACAAGACCAUCUUCGUAAUUCAUAUUAGUGAAGUGAGCUAGCUUGAUAGCGUAUAAGCGUGCAUUGCUGGCUUUCAAUUCAUUUUUGUCACCCACAGUAACUUCAAAGAACCUCAGGUAUUCUUUUUGAAUGUUGUCAUCAAGGUGGUAUGGCAAUUCAGUUAUCAAGUUUUGAACAACAUUCACAAUGUCGUGAAGUGGCUCACAGUUGGAAAUUUCAUAUUGUUCUAAAUUUUCGGUGGUACAUGUAUUGUUAAAAUUGGGACAAAACAAGGCAGGUGGUCUCUGUAUUCCAUGUAGUGUCUCUGUAAGAAGUGUUUUCAGUUCAGGUUUUUUUAAGUUGUAAAUAUCAAGGUUUCUGUAAUCUAGCUCAUCAGUAAGGGUUUCCUUGGUUAAAUUUACAAAGGGGUUGAUGUUGUUCUGCAUGUUGAAAGUUUUCCACAGAGUACCAGCUUUAAAAAGAUCAAGACAUUGCUGUAAAGAUUGA